Molecule: long non-coding RNA, 851 nt
Filed under: Nicotiana benthamiana
Lineage: Eukaryota; Viridiplantae; Streptophyta; Magnoliopsida; Solanales; Solanaceae
Description: long non-coding RNA (NBEN_LNC020133)
Source: RNAcentral
GAGGGCUGAUACAGUUAAACCACGGAAGGCCUCAGCCUCUUCAGUAUGUAGUCAAUGCUGCCUUCCUUGCUACCUUGUAUGGCGACUAUCUUGCUGCUGCUGACACCCCUGGAUGGUAUUGUGGACCCAAUUUCUAUUCUACUAAUGUCCUACGUGAAUUUGCACAGACACAGGUAAAUGAAACUUUACGAUCUUUAUGUUUGCAAGAAUCUCUUUUCUUAUUUUCUUGUUCCUUUUACCUCAGUUCUGCUAAUAAGUGUGUGAAUUACUGCCUAAAAAUAUGUGUGAUAUGUUAAGUGAUAAAUGCAAAAAAUCAGGAGUAUACGAGAUAUAGAUGGUGUAAGCAUGUUCUUAUUAGCCAACUCUGAUGAAAGUUAAACCGUUUCUGGUGUUAACUCAGUUUUCUUUCUUUGACUUUUAGAUUAACUACAUCCUUGGCAAGAACCCUAGGAAGAUGAGUUAUGUUGUGGGCUUCGGCAAUCACUAUCCAAAACGUGUCCACCACAGAGGUGCAUCAAUUCCUAAAAACAAGGUCACGUAUAAUUGUAAAGGAGGAUGGAAGUGGAGGGAUUCAAGUAAGAAUAAUCCGUAUACUCUUGUUGGAGCCAUGGUUGCUGGACCGGACAAGAAUGAUGGUUUCCAUGAUGUUCGUACUAAUUACAAUUAUACUGAGCCAACACUUGCUGGAAAUGCCGGUUUAGUUGCAGCCCUUGUAGCUCUAUCUGGAGAUAAAAGUGUUGGAAUUGACAAGAACACAAUAUUCUCUGCAGUACCACCAAUGUUCCCCACUCCACCACCUCCGCCAGCUGCGUGGAGACCAUGAUUUGUUGAUCGUUAGUUUUAUCAACUCC